This 281-nucleotide long non-coding RNA is filed under the name Elaeis guineensis (African oil palm). RNAcentral describes it as "long non-coding RNA (EGUI_LNC069870)". The record is from RNAcentral. Lineage: Eukaryota; Viridiplantae; Streptophyta; Magnoliopsida; Arecales; Arecaceae.
GGUGUGGCGUCUCUUUGAACCCCCCCGAUCGUCCGAGCUUCCGGACUUCUCCGACAAUGAGCUUCUCCAUCCAUCUACUGUGCCACUCCAAAGGCUCUCUAGGCCUCACUGUCAGCCAAUCUUCUAUAGUGAUCAACUAUUCUCCGAACUCCUUCCGGACUUCGUCAAUAUCCGAGCUUCUUCGACAACGAGGUUUCUACAGUAAUCGGACUCCAUCCAAGUUUCUACGACGGUCGACCGCCUUAAGGAUUCUAACUGGGCUCCUGUGAGAGCCGAACUUC